RNAcentral lists this ribosomal RNA (254 nucleotides) under uncultured bacterium. RNAcentral's name for it is "partial 16S ribosomal RNA". It matches the Rfam family "Bacterial small subunit ribosomal RNA", at positions 524 to 776 of the family's 1533-position model. The record is from RNAcentral.
UACGUAGGGUGCAAGCGUUGUCCGGAUUUAUUGGGUUUAAAGGGUGCGUAGGCGGGUUGAUAAGUCACAGGUGAAAGGUAGCAGCUUAACUGUUUUACAUGCCUGUGAUACUGUUGAUCUUGAAUUAGGCGGAGGGAACUGGAAUGGAUGGUGUAGCGGUGAAAUGCAUAGAUAUCAUCCAGAACGUCAAUUGCGAAGGCAAGUUUCUGUACCUAUAUUGACGCUGAGGCACGAAAGUGUGGGGAUCAAACAGG